RNAcentral lists this ribosomal RNA (361 nucleotides) under uncultured bacterium. RNAcentral describes it as "partial 16S ribosomal RNA". It matches the Rfam family "Bacterial small subunit ribosomal RNA", at positions 338 to 696 of the family's 1533-position model. The record is from RNAcentral.
CCUACGGGUGGCAGCAGUGAGGAAUAUUGGUCAAUGGACGCAAGUCUGAACCAGCCAUGCCGCGUGCAGGAAGACGGCUCUAUGAGUUGUAAACUGCUUUUGUACGGGGGUAAAUGCAGAUACGCGUAUCUUUCUGAAAUUAUCGUACGAUUAAGGAUCGGCUAACUCCGUGCCAUCCGCCGCGGCACUAAGGUGGAUUCAAGCGGUAUCCUGAUUUAUUGGGUUUAAAGGGUGCGUAGGCGGUCGGAUAAGUUAGAGAUGAAAUCCCGAGGCUCAACUUCGGAAUGGCCUCGGAUACUGGUCGGCUAGAGAGUAGUUGCGGUAGGCGGAAUGUAUGGUGUAGCGGUGAAAUGCGUAGAGA